Molecule: long non-coding RNA, 710 nt
Organism: Seriola aureovittata
Lineage: Eukaryota; Metazoa; Chordata; Actinopteri; Carangiformes; Carangidae
Exons: 4
Source: RefSeq, a predicted model, not a curated record
CAAGGACGCACUCAAAGCCGGCAAGGCAGUCAAAUACAUUCAUGAAGGCGGUUGGCAAGGCUGGAUUUAUCUAGACAAUUCUGCUGUUACAAGAAAGCAAAAGUCAUCGGGACAGACGGUAAAUGGGGAAAGAGCAACAACAGGACCAAUGAAAAGGUCUCAAAAUAUUGAGAAUUUCUUCAGUGUAAACCUACAGAAGCAGGAAGCAGUGAAGCAGCAGGGUGUAUCAGGGAUGGGCAGCAGAAUGAUCAGCCUUCAUCUCUGUCCAAUGACAAUGCAAAUCAAGGAGCGUCCAGGAAGAGCAGCCGUCGUUACAACACGGUGAUUAAUGGGGAUCUCGCAAGAUACCAGACCUGAUGCUGCACCGAACUACUGAGUCAGUCCUCCGGCAGUAAAUGAGGUCUUCAGCCCUUUAUAUGCAAUCAAGACUUUCACCAGAACAGGAGGGGCUGUGGCUCAGGUGUUGGAGCCGGCGGUUCGAUCAAGAAGCGCGUCCAGCAUAGAAACUACGAGGAUGGUGUUCCACUGUGGCGACCCCUAACAGGAGCGGCCGAGAGACAACAGCAACACAUUGGACGGACAGAACGAAGGAGGUCGAUUAUAACCUCUUGUCUUAUAGACGAAGGCUGAAGCUGUUGUCAGGCGACAAUCACCACCUGCUCCCUGCAAGAAACCAUUACUGCGGCAGAGAAAACUUACAAACAUCCCCU